This 1002-nucleotide long non-coding RNA is filed under the name Oreochromis niloticus (Nile tilapia). RNAcentral's name for it is "lncRNA (ENSONIG00000041869.1)". The record is from RNAcentral. Lineage: Eukaryota; Metazoa; Chordata; Actinopteri; Cichliformes; Cichlidae.
AUGUUGUUCAUGAGACUAAAGUCAUCUUACUUUGGUAAUGUUAAUAUAAUAUGGCCAAUAUUAUAUGUAUUGUCAGAUUAUUAUGAUAUAUAUAUAUAUAUAUAUAUAUAUAUAUAUAUAUAUAUAAACAUCCACGAAUACAUCACGAAGAUGGCCCCAACUGACAGCGUGCUCAGUGAAUACCUCAGGCAGCAGAAACCCAAGAAAGAGGAGGAAGGCGAGGAACCAUCAUGGAAGGACAGGCCCCUGCACGGUAUGUACCACCGGCAGAUAGAGGAGGUGGCUGAUAUACAGAAAUCCUACCAGUGGCUGGACAAAGCUGGACUGAAAGACAGCACAGAGGCACUAAUCAUGGCAGCACAAGAACAAGCUCUGAGUACAAGAUCCAUAGAGGCUGGGGUCUAUCACACCAGGCAAGACCCCAGGUGCAGGCUGUGUAAAGAUGCCCCAGAGACAAUCCAGCACAUAACAGCAGGGUGCAAGAUGCUAGCAGGCAAGGCAUACAUGGAACGCCAUAACCAAGUGGCCGGCAUAGUGUACAGGAACAUCUGUGCCGAGUAUAACCUGGAAGUCCCGAGGUCAAAAUGGGAGAUGCCCCCAAGGGUGAUGGAGAAUGACCGAGCUAAGAUCCUGUGGGACUUCCAGAUGCAGACGGACAAAAUGGUGGUGGCUAACCAACCGGACAUAGUGGUGGUAGACAAACAGAAGAAGACGGCUGUAGUGAUCGAUGUAGCGGUUCCGAAUGACAGCAAUAUCAGGAAGAAGGAACACGAGAAGCUGGAGAAAUACCAAGGGCUCAGAGAAGAGCUCGAGAGGAUGUGGAGGGUGAAGGUAACGGUGGUCCCCGUGGUAAUCGGAGCACUAGGUGCGGUGACUCCCAAGCUAGGCGAGUGGCUCCAGCAGAUCCCGGGAACAACAUCGGAGAUCUCUGUCCAGAAGAGCGCAGUCCUGGGAACAGCUAAGAUACUGCGCAGGACCCUCAAGCUCCCAGGCCUCUGGUAG